GACGAACGCUGGCGGCGUGCUUAACACAUGCAAGUCGAACGGAAAGGCCCUGCUUGCAGGGUACUCGAGUGGCUAACGGGUGAGUAACUCGUGGGUGAACUGCCCUACCCUUCGGGAUCAGCCUGGGAAACUGGGUCUACUACGGGGUAGGAGCCAUUUUUCGCGUGAUGGUUGGAAAGUUUUUGCGGUGUGGGGUGAGCUCGCGGCCUAUCAGCUUGUUGGUGGGGUAGUGGCCUACCAAGGCGGCGACGGGUCGCCGGCCGGGGAGGGUGGACGGCCACAUUGGGAGUGAGAGAGGGCCCAGACACAUACGGGAGGGAGGAGGGAGGAAUAAUGCUCAAGGAGCGCAAGACUGAUGCAGCGACGCCGGGUGGGUGAAGACGGCCGUCGGGUGGGAAACGCCUUUCGCUAGGGACGAAGCUUUUUGUGACGGUACCUAGAGAAGAAGCACCGGCUAACUACGUG
RNAcentral lists this ribosomal RNA (465 nucleotides) under uncultured bacterium. RNAcentral's name for it is "partial 16S ribosomal RNA". It matches the Rfam family "Bacterial small subunit ribosomal RNA", at positions 28 to 507 of the family's 1533-position model. The record is from RNAcentral.